AAGAUCACGCUUCAUAGGAUCAUUUCUAUAUGCGCGAUCGCCGAGAUUCGUCCGCGGUCUCGAAACACCUUCGACCACGAUGAGGAGAUGGUGGGUCUUCGCCUGAGCGCGAAGCCGGCGACGGAGCUGCGGGUUCCGACCUCGGCUCCUGCCAUUGAUGACCGUUCCCUUAACCCUUGAAUGGCUUGAGGGAUGGCGAAGACCCUGUCUGAGUGGC
This 217-nucleotide small nucleolar RNA is filed under the name Haemaphysalis longicornis (longhorned tick). RNAcentral describes it as "Small nucleolar RNA U3". It matches the Rfam family "Small nucleolar RNA U3". From Rfam's summary of the family: Small nucleolar RNAs (snoRNAs) are involved in the processing and modification of rRNA in the nucleolus. There are two main classes of snoRNAs: the box C/D class, and the box H/ACA class. The record is from Rfam by way of RNAcentral. Lineage: Eukaryota; Metazoa; Arthropoda; Arachnida; Ixodida; Ixodidae.